This 5106-nucleotide long non-coding RNA is filed under the name Canis lupus familiaris (dog). RNAcentral describes it as "lncRNA (ENSCAFG00000055517.1)". Lineage: Eukaryota; Metazoa; Chordata; Mammalia; Carnivora; Canidae. The record is from RNAcentral.
GCGGGGAGCAGACCUCGGACGGCUUUUGUGCGGCGGCGGCGGCGGCGGCGGCCCCGGGGAGGGAGGGGCAUGGGGGAUGGGGACGGGGGUGGGGGAUGGGGGCGGGCCUUCUCCCGCUUCCUUCCCUCCGCCCCGGGCCUGGCGCGCCUGCUGCGGCCUCAGCGGCACCCCCGGAGCGCGCGCUCGCGUGCAGUCGGACCCGCCCGCGCUGCCCCCGCGGACCUCCCCACGGCCGCGGCCCCCCCGCCCCGGGCUGCCCGCCCUUCUUGACUGCGCCGAGCAAAUGCAGCUGGGCCCGCUCGAACAUCCUGUGUUUGUUGCUGGCAUCCGUGAAAUGGUGAGAGGACCCAGACCCUUCACAGAUCCUGAAACUACUGGUCUACCUACGAGAAUCAUGAUGCUGUUGGCCUAAUCUUCACCUCCCUAUGCUUGUCCUUCUGUGAAAAGAAGAUAAGAGAGGGGAUGAGUCAAGUAACAUAAUAAACGUCUGAGAAGGUAAGAAGAAAAACUGCCUUUUCUUCAUAGGGUUUCUCACUAUUUCAGAUGAUUUAUUGACUUGCUUUAUGUCUGUCUCUUCCAGUAGAAUGCAAGCUCCUAGAAGUCAGGGACCUUUUGAUUUAUCACUGUAUCUUAAUGAAUAAAGUAGUGUCUAGCAAUGUCAAGGCUUAAUAAAUAUUUGUCAAAUGAAUUAAUGAUUAUUUGGGCCUUGAGCCACUAGUUGGGGUGAAUUGGUAGUACUCAUAAUGGGUUGCUGUGGCUCGUAAUAGACGUCUGUUUGCUCGUGAAUGGCAUUUAGAGCUAUUCCUCUUGUCUUUGUGAAUCAGCACUGAAUCUUUGUGUUCCUAUGAGGGUGUGGGUUUUGUUUAGGUCCUUUAAAGAGAAUUCCCCCCCAAAAUAAUUUUGCUAAUCAUCUUAAUUACUAAAGGAAGUCCAAUAUGGGGAUAGAAAGAAAUGAACUCUGUAUCGUGAAUGACCAUACAUACUGGGUGCUUUACUUGUGCUGUCUCAUUUAAUUCUUAAAACUCUGUGAGGUUAAUAUAUUAAUUCUAUUUCAUAAAUAAAGGACAUAGAUACAGGCAAGUUAAACAACUUGCUUGAGGAUACAUAGAUACUAAAGGGUACAGCUUAUUUUUUCUGGCUUCAAAAUUUCUUUUUGAUACAACGUUCUACAGAAUUGUGAUACUUUAUACCUUAUGAAUAACAUUUAGGAUGUGUAUUUGUCAGUGUUCAGUGUAAACAAAUAGAAUUUGGGGUGCGUGUAUAUAUAUAUAUAUAUAUUUUUUUUUUUUUUUUUUUUUUUUACAAAGGAAGGUAUUUAAUAGAGGGUGCUCACAGAAAUGAAUGGUCAGGAUUGGAGAAGUGAGUUAUAGACAAAGCUUCCAAGAAUCAGUGAUUCCAGUACAAUACAGAGUUGACCUGUCAGUGGAGCUGUGACUGCUGAGGACUUUAGGAAUACGAGUUUUAAUAACAUAACCCUACAAUAGCAAGCAGAGCCAAUAAGCUACUGCUGUCCAACUGUCACAACUGCUUAUUGUCUUUCAGGGGGCUGAGUAAUGGGCCUUGGUGCACUGCUUCAGAAGCUGUGUUGUAGUGACUUUAAUUAUUAGAGAAAAAACAGACAAGUGGUCAAGGAGACAUCCCAACUUCUCUUAUGUUUUCUUAAUCUUGCACGGAUAUAUCUGAUUGACAGACCUUCUUCAUAGCUCUAGGUGCAAAGAGGUCUAGAAACCAUCGUAAGCUUCCAGUCUCUGCCUGUGAAAGACACCAUAAGAGGAGGGUGGAAUGGACAUUAAGUGAGCCAACCUGCAGUACUUACCACGGGCAAUACUGGGAGAAAUACAGACACAGAUACAGAAAUACAUGUAAGAAAUACACAAAGAGAAUGGAUGAAGAUGUUUAAAACUGACUCUGUCCAGGAAAACCUACUCAUAUGUAAUUAUUUAUUUUAACUCCAAACUCCUAACAUUGAAAUCUUUAUGGCUAUUGGGGCACCUGGGUAGUUCAGUCCAUUAAGCAUCUACCUUCAGCUCAGGUCAUGAUCCCAGAGUCCUGGGAUCGAGUCCCUGCAUCUGGCUCCCUGCUCAGUGGGGAGUCUGCUUCUCCUCCUUCCCCUUACUCAUGCUCUCUUACUCACUCUCUCGCUCACUCUCUCAAAUAAAUAAAAUCUUUAAAAAUAAAUAAAUGAAUCUUUAUGGCAAUGAGUUAUCUUGGUGAAAAUAUCCAUGCACAUGAUAACUAAGGCCAGUAAUAUAUCUCAAUGUGCACAUAUCAGAGAAGGGAAAAUUAUUUGUGGUACAGGAUCAUCACUUUCAUUUUUUUUUGUAGUCCUUUGUUUGCUAACACUACUAUUGGCAUGAUUUGGGGGAAGAGGAGGCUCAUUUCCAGCAGGCCCCAGGUCUUUCUUUGGAUUCUCUUUGGCUCUGGUUUCUCGUAUGCCAACACAGUACUCAAAUCAGAAAGGCUUAACAACUUAGUACUCCAAAGCUUCGAAGACACUUAGCACAUCCAAGCAUUUUACAUGGAAGCCGCAGGGAAGCAAAAAGAUUUGCCUGGGAUCUCAGGGAGACUGGAUUAGAAGCCAAGUUCUCUGGCUUCCUGUCCAAACCUUUCUUCAUCACAAUAAAAUCAAGCCUUGGACUGUAUGCCUCCUCAACACAGAAUGAAAACGUAUGUGUGAAUGUAUAUGUGUGUACGUGAGAGAAAGGGAGAGAUGGCCAGAUUCCAUUUACAUCAAGUUCAGUAACAGGCAUAACAGCUGUAUUUUUUGGGAAAUAUACUUGCAUGUUAACCAUGAAGCAAAGUGAGGAAAUAUUAACCAUCAAAGUCUGGUUAGCAGUGGCCGGCGGAGGGUGGGGGAGUUGUUACUAGUAAAAGGCACACGGGAACUUGUGGAGUGAUGGCAAUGUCUCAGGAGACUCAGUUUUAUAGGACUGAAAUUUUGUUUUUGGGGUUGUUGUUUGUUUUUUUUUUUUUGGCAUGCAGUGUAACGUAUUUGACUUUCUUGUCUUCAGUAACACUUUGUGUUAGUCCUUCCUGUAUAUUAGAGCCAGGCUGCGUGCUUUUCAUGGAUGACUUCCUUUCACUCUCACCAGAACACUCUCAAGGAGGCACUGUUAUUAUCCCCAUUUCAUAGAUGAGCAAACUGAGAUGCAGCCUUCACUAACCUGUCCAGGUCCACACAGUUAGGUAGCAGAGCUGGUAUUUGAUUCAUCUGGCUGCAGUGUCAGCUGCUUAACCAUUCUGUUGCACGACCCACCAGAAACUGAGUGACUGAGUAAAUUAUGGACGUUUCUUUCCAUUAUUAUUUUUGCAAUCACAAAAGUUACCGUUAUGAUAACUAGGUUAAUAAGAGAAAAAGGCAGGAUACAAAACUUUAUACACACACACAUAGCAAUGACAUCUCUGUUAAAAAUAUGUACACAUAGCUGUAAAAGGCCAGAAUAUAAAACACUGGUAAGAUGAUGAAAAUGUUGGUGCUUUGUCCCCCAUCUUCUCUGUUUUCCAAAUUUAUUUUAAAGUGGCCAUAUUAAAUUUACAAUGGGAAAACGUUCUGUAAAAUAAACUUCCCAUACACCUGAAACAUAAAAUUUCAUUUCCGCACUCUUCUUUGCUACAGCUUUGUAUAAUCUUGAGAAGCCUCUUCUGCUCAACGAGUGACUUCAUUACUAAAUUGAUGGCACCCGAUCACUCUAGCUAUGCAAAUCGCAAACCCACAGCCAGCUGAGGAAAAGGCAGAUAAAAGAUUACAUUAAAAAUUAAAGCAACGUGUGGAGAUGUGGAGAUAAUGUGCUUACAAUUAUUUCUACAUAUUUAAUAUUUAUGCAAUUACAAAGCCAGUCAUGACAAAUCUUAAAUCUUGAGUUCUAUUCCUUUUGCCCUCUGGUAUUUUUGACCUUGAACUGAGACUGCCAAAUCACAUAUAAAAAAUGGCUGUGGGAGAAGCAUUUCCUUUGGCCUAUAAAUGAUAAAUGCUUUUUUCUUAGAAAGUGAUCUCAUUUCUUCCAAGCCUUUGUUUAUUUUCAAUGCCUUGUACUUUUUUUUUUUUUUUUAUUCUGUUAUAUCCUGAUCACCCUUGAAAGCGCUGGGCUUUCAGUCUUCCACAGUUUGGUGGUGGUGUUUUCUGGUGGUGCUGCUGUGAUGUGUUUUUUGUCAGAGGAAAUUUACAGGCACAUUAGCCUACUUGACAGGCACAAUGAGCCACAAGGCUCUCCUAAGGAGCAACUUCCACGUGCCGUGGUGAGGUUUUCUGCAUCUCUCCAUCCCACCCUCCCUCUUACGCUUUCCCCCUCCAUGAUUCAGACACAAACCCCAACCACUUUCGUUUAUAAGAAUUACCUUGUAUCCUGGAUUUAACUCUCUGGUUCCUGAUCAUGGCGUUACAUCAGUUCUGUAUUAAUUAAUUCAUGUUCCUGCAACAAUCUGGCUAGAGUAGUUUGUGGAUACAACCAAUGUCCUCUCUUACAGCCAUCUAGAUAUCAAAUAAGGGACGGAUGAUGGGAACCUUUUUUUUUUUUUUCUAUGAUGAGUAGUUGACAUAAACUGGAGAAAACAGCAUCCAAGGACUAUACAAAUGAAAAGCAAUAUAAUUAAAUUUUAUGGAGGGUGUUUAGAGAGAAAAUUCUAAAACAAUUUUCUCAGUUUGUCAUAGAAAAAUAGUCGAAAAGAAUCAAUAAAACUUAUUAAAAAUUCAAAAAUCAUAAAAUGAGACAUGACUGAAAGGGUAAACUGUUUUCUUGGCAGAUUCCAAAUAUAUUAGAGUAUUUCCCUGCAGCCACUGGGGAACUGCCGGCCUGUGCAUUUUCAGCUUCGUGUAUACUGUGUUGCCCCUAGGGGAGUAAAUUUGCUAAGACAUAGCAGUUCUGGUAUAUUCAGCCCCUGACUUGAUGUUAAGCUAUCUCUUCAAUUUAACAUCUUCCAGGCCUUUUAAAUAAUUUUUGCAGGGUGAUUUUAUUUUGCGAUUAUUCCUUUUGUCCUUGUUAUGUUGGGACCAUAAGCAUGUAACUAUGUAACCUACAGAGAUUACUUAGAACAGUUGGAGGGAUGCCUGGCUGGCUCAGUCUGAGGACUGCGUGGCUCUUGAUCUUGGGGCCAUGAGUUCGAGCUCCA